CACAGGGAGGUAGUGACAAAAAAUAACAAUGCAGGGCCUUUUGGUCGCUGCAAUUGGAAUGAGUACAAUUUAAACCACUUAACGAGUAUCCAUUGGAGGGCAAGUCUGGUGCCAGCAGCCGCGGUAAUUCCAGCUCCAAUAGCGUAUAUUAAAGUUGUUGCAGUUAAAAAGCUCGUAGUUGAAUUUCGGAGGAGAGGCCCCGGUCUCGGUUCUGCCGUGUACCGGGCGCUUCGAAUCUUUUUUCUGGGGAAACAGGGUGUCCUUUACUGGGCGCUCUGGGGAACCAGGACGAUUACCUUGGGAAAAAUAGAGUGUUCAAAGCAGGCGAUUGCUUGAAUACGUUAGCAUGGAAUAAUAAAAUAGGACUUUGGUUCUAUUUUGUUGGUUUUAAGGACCAAUGUCAUGAUGAAUAGGGACAGUUGGGGGCAUUCGUAUUCCGAAGCUAGAGGAA
This 451-nucleotide ribosomal RNA is filed under the name uncultured eukaryote. RNAcentral describes it as "SSU rRNA". It matches the Rfam family "Eukaryotic small subunit ribosomal RNA", at positions 455 to 913 of the family's 1831-position model. The record is from RNAcentral.